ACAAGGGUCUGAAUACCAGGAAGUGGGAUCACUGAAGGCAUCCUAGAAGCUGCCUAUCACCUGGAUGCUUCAGCUUCACAGGUGAGCAGGAGUUAAUCGGGUGAAUAAGAGGCACAGGGGUGUCGUUCCUGGGCAGAGAGCAGAAGCACAGGUAUAGGAGGACACAUGCUACUUUAGGGGAAAGCGGUGUCCCAUGGGGCUGGCACAGAGAUUGUGUGUGUGUUUGUGCACAUGUGUGCUUAUGUGCACACACCUGUGGUUACAGGGAGACACGAGAAGAGAGAGAGAAAUCUAGAGCAUGCAUUUGUCACAUGGGCGAUGUUACCAACAGGGAGAAAAAUUGGUUCUCAUGGAGAGUGAAAAAUCUUAGAUUUUACAGUGAUUGAUGGUUCUCCAGAACUCAACCCUGUAAAGUAUACCUGUGAUGUUUAAUUUUCACGAGGAGAGUCUCGGUUGAUUAGGAAAAAACUGUCCAACAGUACCCCUUGGGCUGGGGGUGACAGUGAGAAAAGUCAGGAAAUAUUGGUCUAGAGAAGUCAGAGGAACAUUUAGUGAGUACUUGUAAUCUAUCAGAUGACAAGUGUUUUAUGCUAAAGUGUUAAGCAUGUUGUGUGCAACCUAUGAUUCCAUCUUGUAACAACCCUGUAUCCUCUGCAUCUUAGGGAGAAGGAAAGUGGGGUAGGUGGUUCCUGACAUGGCCCCCAAUGAUCCCCAUCCUCCGGUGUUUAUGCCUCUCCCCUUGAAUGUGGGUGGGCCUUGUCACCUGCUUAUAACAGGUGGAAUAUGGUAGAAGGUAUGAGAUGUCACUUCUGUGAUGAGACUAUGAAGAUGGGUUUUGUUUAUGACCUAAUCAUGUAAAUGGCACUCUCUUCUGGCACUUUCUCUCUGGCUCUUCUCAUGAAGCAAGCAGGAGAGACCUAUGUGGGUGGCAAGGAACUGAGGGCACCUCCUGCCACCUAUCAGCAAGAAGUGAGGCCCUCUGUCCAACAGCCUCUGAUGAACUGAAUGCUGCCCACACCACAAGGGUGAGCUUUGACGUGGAUCCCUCCCCGGUCGAACCUUCAGGCAAGACCGCAGCCCAGGCUGACACCUGCCCUGUGAUGGAUCCUGGGCAGAGGAGCCAGGGAAGCCACACCUGGAUCCCUACCCCACCAAAAGUGUGAGGAAGAAUAAAUAGAAGCACUAAGUAUGCUGUGGAAGCCCGCUUGUUUUUGGAGGCACCUUGAGGCUACCUAGAAGGAACCAGGGGGCCAGGGAGUAGCUGUUGGUGCUGACGACCGACCGUUUGGGAAGAGCGUUCGGGGUGGAGAAGCAGCGUUUCUGCUGUUCCUUCGGAACUGAGUUAGACCUUGCCAUUGGCCUCAGGAAGCUUCCCGUUGACUGUCUCCCGGAGACACUGUGACACAUGCAAGCUCGGCAGCCAAGGCAGGGACGAUACACUUUUGGAGUAAGGCAGGCUCCUUCCUCACCUCUGGACCUCCACUCUGCUCCGCCUCCCCUGACUCUGUGUCUCAGCUGCCGCAAGAGGCCCAUGGGUCCGUUCACCGUGCUCCACCUCCAAUGCCACUACCCUCUCUGAGCUGCCCGGAUGACGAGGAUGGUCCGUCAGCUGUGCGCCCGCGGCUCUUACUGGCCCCCGCACCAGAGUCCACGCUGCAGCUAGAGUGACCUUAACACACGUGUAUGUCGUGCACGUCGAGCAGCUCUCUUCUCUGCAUUUAAAAGUCCUCCUGGCUUCCCAUGCCCUUGGGACAGGAUCCCGUGCUUGGCCCCAGAGGCCCUCUCCCGCUCGCAAGUGCCCGUAGCACCUCUCCCACCCCAUCGUGCCCUUCUUCCUCCCCCCCUCGCUGUUUGAACUCCAGCCACCCUGCCUCCUUCCCUUCCAGGAGGGCUCAGGGUCUCUCCUGUCUCAUCAUGGGUCAUGACCGUGAUUGUCUUUCUGUCUUUCCCUCCUUCCUCUGGCUUGUGCUUAUCCAUUCUGUCCUUGGGCGGGGUCGGGGGGGUUGCUGCUCCCCAGACUAGGCUGAGACCCUCCUCCCAGGCUUUCCCAGUGCCCUGUGUGUCUCCAUUACCACCAUGCACCCUGAGGGUUUAUUGGCAUACCUGUCUUUUCUGCUAGACUCCAGCAACUGGACUGUGGCUG
Felis catus (domestic cat) is the source of this 2143-nucleotide long non-coding RNA. RefSeq lists it as uncharacterized. The transcript has 4 exons. The record is from RefSeq and is a predicted model, not a curated record. NCBI's taxonomy places the organism in Eukaryota, Metazoa, Chordata, Mammalia, Carnivora, Felidae.